UUUCGAGAAACUCGGGGACGAUUAUGCGUGUCGGCUUCGGUCGUCGCGUUGAUUGGAACCGAUUUAAUCGCAGUGGCUUGAACCGGGCAAAAGUCGUAACAAGGUAGCUGUAGGUGAACCUGCUGUUGGAUCAUUACCCAA
This 141-nucleotide ribosomal RNA is filed under the name Globodera pallida. Its description in RNAcentral is "partial 18S ribosomal RNA". It matches the Rfam family "Eukaryotic small subunit ribosomal RNA", at positions 1697 to 1831 of the family's 1831-position model. The record is from RNAcentral. Lineage: Eukaryota; Metazoa; Nematoda; Chromadorea; Rhabditida; Heteroderidae.